UAGGGAAUCUUCCACAAUGGACGAAAGUCUGAUGGAGCAACGCCGCGUGAGUGAAGAAGGUUCUCGGAUCGUAAAACUCUGUUGUGAGGGAAGAACAAGUACCGGAGUAACUGCCGGUACCUUGACGGUACCUCGUUAGAAAGCCACGGCUAACUACGUGCCAGCAGCCGCGGUAAUACGUAGGUGGCAAGCGUUGUCCGGAAUCAUUGGGCGUAAAGCGCGCGCAGGCGGUCCCUUAAGUCUGAUGUGAAAGCCCACGGCUCAACCGUGGAGGGUCAUUGGAAACUGGGGGACUUGAGUGCAGAAGAGGAAAGCGGAAUUCCAAGUGUAGCGGUGAAAUGCGUAGAGAUUUUGGAGGAACACCAGUGGCGAAGGCGGCUUUCUGGUCUGUAACUGACGCUGAGGCGCGAAAGCGUGGGGAGCAAACAGGAUUAGAUACCCUGGUAGUCCACGCCGUAAACGAUGAGUGCUAAGUGUUAGGGGGGUUUCCCGCCCCUUAGUGCUGCAGCUAACGCAUUAAGCGCUCCGCCUGGGGAGUACGGCCGCAAGACUGAAACUUAAAGGAAUUUGACGGGGGUCAUAGCUGUUUCCUG
This 593-nucleotide ribosomal RNA is filed under the name uncultured bacterium. Its description in RNAcentral is "partial 16S ribosomal RNA". It matches the Rfam family "Bacterial small subunit ribosomal RNA", at positions 355 to 1376 of the family's 1533-position model. The record is from RNAcentral.